RNAcentral lists this ribosomal RNA (632 nucleotides) under uncultured bacterium. RNAcentral's name for it is "bacterial SSU rRNA". The stretch from base 1 to 524 matches the Rfam family "Bacterial small subunit ribosomal RNA", at positions 338 to 873 of the family's 1533-position model. The record is from RNAcentral.
CCUACGGGAGGCAGCAGUGGGGAAUAUUGGACAAUGGGCGAAAGCCUGAUCCAGCAAUGCCGCGUGAGUGAUGAAGGCCUUAGGGUCGUAAAGCUCUUUUACCCGGGAUGAUAAUGACAGUACCGGGAGAAUAAGCCCCGGCUAACUCCGUGCCAGCAGCCGCGGUAAUACGGAGGGGGCUAGCGUUGUUCGGAAUUACUGGGCGUAAAGCGUGCGUAGGCGGUUAUUCAAGUCAGAGGUGAAAGCCCGGGGCUCAACCCCGGAACGGCCUUUGAAACUAGGUAGCUAGAAUCUUGGAGAGGUCAGUGGAAUUCCGAGUGUAGAGGUGAAAUUCGUAGAUAUUCGGAAGAACACCAGUGGCGAAGGCGACUGACUGGACAAGUAUUGACGCUGAGGCACGAAAGCGUGGGGAGCAAACAGGAUUAGAUACCCUGGUAGUCCACGCCGUAAACGAUGAUAACUAGCUGUUCGGGUACUUGGUAUNUGUAGUGCGCGAGCUACGACACUUAAGUUAAGUUACCGUCCGUCGGGUAGGUACGGGUACGGUCGAACGAAGUUAAAACGUUAACGUAAAGGAAAGUUAGUACGGACGUGAGACGUAAGUCCGAACGGACGACGACGAGGGAGGUAGG